This 494-nucleotide ribosomal RNA is filed under the name uncultured bacterium. Its description in RNAcentral is "partial 16S ribosomal RNA". It matches the Rfam family "Bacterial small subunit ribosomal RNA", at positions 28 to 507 of the family's 1533-position model. The record is from RNAcentral.
GACGAACGCUGGCGGCGUGCUUAACACAUGCAAGUCGAACGGAAAGGCCUGCUUUCCCUUGUGGAUUGCGGGUGCUCGAGUGGCGAACGGGUGAGUAACACGUGAGUGAUCUGCCCCCAACUUGGGUAUAAGCCUGGGAAACUGGGUCUAAUUCCCGAUAGGACUGCAGGGUGGUGCCUGUGGUGGAAAACGAUUUUCUAGUGGUUGGGGAUGAGCUCGCGGCCUAUCAGCUUGUUGGUGGGGUAAUGGCCUACCAAGGCGGCGACGGGUAGCCGGCCUGAGAGGGUGGACGGCCACAUUGGGACUGAGAUACGGCCCAGACUCCUACGGGAGGCAGCAGUGGGGAAUAUUGUACAAUGGGCGGAAGCCUGAUGCAGCGACGCCGCGUGGGGGAUGACGGCCUUCGGGUUGUAAACUCCUUUCGACCGCGAGGAAGCCACCUGGUUGGAAGGGUGGUGACGGUAGUGGUAGAAGAAGCACCGGCUAACUACGUG